This 448-nucleotide ribosomal RNA is filed under the name uncultured bacterium. RNAcentral describes it as "bacterial SSU rRNA". It matches the Rfam family "Bacterial small subunit ribosomal RNA", at positions 328 to 793 of the family's 1533-position model. The record is from RNAcentral.
CCCCCAGACUCCUACGGGAGGCAGCAGUGGGGAAUAUUGCACAAUGGGGGAAACCCUGAUGCAGCGACGCCGCGUGAGUGAAGAAGUAUUUCGGUAUGUAAAGCUCUAUCAGCAGGGAAGAUAAUGACGGUACCUGAGUAAGAAGCCCCGGCUAACUACGUGCCAGCAGCCGCGGUAAUACGUAGGGGGCAAGCGUUAUCCGGAUUUACUGGGUGUAAAGGGAGCGCAGGCGGCCUGCCAAGUCUGGUGUGAAAACCCGGGGCCCAACCCCGGGCCUGCAUUGGAAACUGGCGGGCUGGAGUGUCGGAGGGGCAGGCGGAAUUCCUAGGGUAGCGGUGAAAUGCGUAGAUAUUAGGAGGAACACCAGUGGCGAAGGCGGCUUACUGGACUGUAACUGACGUUGAGGCUCGAAAGCGUGGGGAGCAAACAGGAUUAGAUACCCGGGUAC